UGGUGACUCAUCAUCAGCAGAAGGCUAGAGAAGGGGCAGAGGCUGAGUGCAUCUUCCAGAUCUAGUGGACAAGGUCCUGUAAAUGCUACCACAAGUCUCGAAUCUGCACAUUUUGCUCCUGCAUAUGCAUAUUAUGCUCCUACAGUUGUACAUUCUGCUUUAACACCCUCGUCUACAAGUCCUGAAGCUCAAUGGAAUCUGUACUACCACUAGGAGGGUAUGUCGCACAAGAAGAUGAAGCAUCCCACCCAUAAAAC
This 257-nucleotide long non-coding RNA is filed under the name Ricinus communis (castor bean). Its description in RNAcentral is "long non-coding RNA (RCOM_LNC002798)". Lineage: Eukaryota; Viridiplantae; Streptophyta; Magnoliopsida; Malpighiales; Euphorbiaceae. The record is from RNAcentral.